Molecule: signal recognition particle RNA, 103 nt
Filed under: Finegoldia magna ATCC 53516
Lineage: Bacteria; Bacillati; Bacillota; Tissierellia; Tissierellales; Peptoniphilaceae
Description: Bacterial signal recognition particle RNA
Rfam family: Bacterial small signal recognition particle RNA
About the family: The signal recognition particle (SRP) is a universally conserved ribonucleoprotein involved in the co-translational targeting of proteins to membranes. Archaeal SRP consists of a 7S RNA and homologues of the eukaryotic SRP19 and SRP54 proteins. In most bacteria, the SRP consists of a 4.5S RNA and the Ffh protein (a homologue of the eukaryotic SRP54 protein).
Source: RNAcentral
GAAGUGGGUCUCACGCAACAGGAACCUGUGAACCUGGUCAGGAUCGGAAGGUAGCAGCCAUAAGCAGUCAUUUCUGUGUGAUGUGAGGGUGCCUAUUUUGAGC